AACAAGGAUUCCCUUAGUAACUGCGAGUGAAGAGGGAAAAGCUCAAAUUUAAAAUCUGGCAGUGUUUCAUUGUCCGAGUUGUAACCUAGAGAAGUGUAACCUGUGCUGGACCGUGUACAAGUCUCCUGGAAUGGAGCAUCACAGAGGGUGAGAAUCCCGUCUUUGACACGGACUACCAGUGCAUUGUGGUUGUGCUCUCAACGAGUCGAGUUGUUUGGGAAUGCAGCUCUAAAUGGGUGGUAAAUUCCAUCUAAAGCUAAAUAUUGGCGAGAGACCGAUAGCGAACAAGUACCGUGAGGGAAAGAUGAAAAGAACUUUGGAAAGAGAGUUAAACAGUAUGUGAAAUUGUUGAAAGGGAAACGUUUGAAGUCAGUCGUGUUGGCUGGGGAUCAACCUGACUUAUUGUUAGGUGUAUUUCCUGGUUGACGGGCCAACAUCAGUUUUGACUGCCAGAAAAAGGCCAAGGGAAUGUGGCACCUUUGGGUGUGUUAUAGCUUUUGGUCGUAUGUGGUGGUUGGGACUGAGGACAGCAGUGCGCCGCAAUGGCAGGGUUUCGACCACAUUCGCACUGAGGAUGUUGGCAUAAUGGCUUUAAGCGACCCGUCUUGAAACACGGACCAAGGAGUCUAACAUGCAUGCGAGUGUUUGGGUGGAAAACCCUUACGCGUAAUGAAAGUGAAAGUUGAGAUCCCUGUCGUGGGGAGCAUCGACGCCCGGACCAGAACUUUUGGGACGGAUCUGCGGUAGAGCACGUAUGUUGGGACCCGAAAGAUGGUGAACUAUGCCUGAAUAGGGUGAAGCCAGAGGAAACUCUGGUGGAGGCUCGUAGCGAUUCUGACGUGCAAAUCGAUCGUCAAAUUUGGGUAUAGGGGCGAAAGACUAAU
This 884-nucleotide ribosomal RNA is filed under the name Amanita brunnescens. RNAcentral's name for it is "eukaryotic LSU rRNA". It matches the Rfam family "Eukaryotic large subunit ribosomal RNA", at positions 67 to 935 of the family's 3401-position model. Lineage: Eukaryota; Fungi; Basidiomycota; Agaricomycetes; Agaricales; Amanitaceae. The record is from RNAcentral.